This 240-nucleotide long non-coding RNA is filed under the name Eutrema salsugineum. RNAcentral's name for it is "long non-coding RNA (ESAL_LNC001611)". The record is from RNAcentral. Lineage: Eukaryota; Viridiplantae; Streptophyta; Magnoliopsida; Brassicales; Brassicaceae.
UUGCUAUUGAGUGUCCUUAAGCACAAAACAGAUUUGUGGGUCGGUAUUUCAAUAAACUAAAGAAAUGGGGUAAAAUCGAAAUAUAUAGCAAGUUUAAUCCAAAGAGGAAAGUAUUUAAAGAUUAAGAGAAGUGCAUACGUGGAGGUUGAACACUUUGUACAACCAAUGACGUGCUUCCGAGUAUUCAUAUCAAAGUUUUUUCUCCUCAUUAUCUCCCCGGAUGUUCAAGAAUUAUACACA